RNAcentral lists this long non-coding RNA (2982 nucleotides) under Brassica napus (rape). RNAcentral's name for it is "long non-coding RNA (BNAP_LNC020892)". The stretch from base 989 to 1113 matches the Rfam family "MIR9563 microRNA precursor family". Lineage: Eukaryota; Viridiplantae; Streptophyta; Magnoliopsida; Brassicales; Brassicaceae. The record is from RNAcentral.
ACGAGAAGCAUAAAAGAAAGGUUAAUUAAGUGAGAGAAGUUAUGGGACACUUUCUGAUUGGUCUCCUUGUGGUUGCUCUGUCUAUUGGUAAUGUUAUUGAAGAGGCAUAUGGUGAAAUACCUAGACCAGUUUUGAGCGAAAUAGAGUGGAUUAAUAAGAGAGGUCCCUUUUUGGGGAUUGUAGCUCCAAACAACUAUGAGCUUAAUCCUCUCCUUGAUUCCCAAGCCUAUGUUCCAUAUCACAGACUGCCUUCCAUCGAUUUCGCAGGUAAAAUUUUGUUCUAUGUUUGUUAUUAAAUUAAUUUAUAUGAACUUAAUUCCUUUUUUCUUUCUUCAAAUUUGUAAAACAUGAUAAUUUUUUUUCAUUGAACGUUAUAUAUAUAUAUAUAUAUUGAUCUGGUUUAUAUGAAUCGUGCAGGUAGAAAAUUUCGUUUUGGAAGUAUAUUAAACCACCGGGUGGUAAUCGUGAUGUCAGGACUAGGAAUGGUUAGUUCAUUGAUUAUAUCAACUCUUUAUCCCGUGUAUAUCAAAGAACUCUAGUCUUUUUAUUAAUAUAAAGUUUGAUUAAAUAAUAUAUACAUAUAUAAACAGGUAAAUGCAGCAGUUUCAACACAAUUACUAGUGAACCUGUUUAGGCUGAGAGGAGUGUUGCACUAUGGAAUCGCUGGGAACGCAGAUGUUAAUCUUCAGAUUGGUGACGUCACUAUUCCUAGAUAUUGGGCCCAUUCUGGUCUCUGGAAUUGGCAGGUAGGGUUUUUCUAACCCGAAAACAAAAACAUAGACUACUUUUCACUCAAUAAUUUCAUUAAACCUUAGACUAUGAUUAACCUCAGUCUCUUAACUGGAAUUCUUAGCUUUGACUAAGAUACGGUUCUUACCUUUUUUUAGAUUUUAACUAAGAAAAGUUAAGAACCAUCUCUUAAAUAAGACUCUUAAAUAAGAGAUAUUAGAGCAUGAUUAACUUGAGUUCUUAGGAUGAGGUUCUAAGCGGAAGUUAAGAAACUGUUUCUUAAUUUUUAACUAAAAAAGCUAAGAACGGGUUCUUAAAUAAGGACUUUAAGAACCGGUUCUUAGCCUUUUUAGUUAAAAGUUAAGAAACAGUUUCUUAACUUCCGCUAAGAACUCCACUCUAAGAACCCCGAGUUAAUCAUGGUCUUAGAGCAUGAUUAACGGGGGUUUUUAGCGGAAUAUAAGAAUCUGUCUAUUAACUUUUAACUAAAAAGCUAAGAACAUUCUUAAUUUUUUUAAGUUAAAAGUUAAGAGACGGGUUCUUAUAUUCCGCUAAGAACUUCACCCUAAAAACCCGGUUAACCAUGCUCUUACCGAUACUAUGACAAAAAAAAAGACUUAUUAUCGAUACCAACCAAUAAUAAAUGACUUUGAAAAAGAAAUAUACUAAAUAAAAGUCAUUAAUAUGUCAGCAGUUACGUUUUCUGUAUAUCGUAAUUAUCAUCCAUCCAAAUAAAUUAGUGAUGACAUACUAAGCAAAUAUAGAAAACUCUUCUAAAUUAAUCAGAACUAGAUUUUAAUCCGCACGUCCGUGCGGAUAAUUUUUCAUUUUAUAAAUAUAUUUGAUAUUAUUACAAAUGUUUUAAAUAUAUAAAUUUCAUUUUAUUAUUAUAUAUUGUGUAACUCAUAAUUUAUUUUUAUAUUUCUUAUUCAACAUUAUUAACAUAUAGUGAUUUGUUUCAUACAUUUUACUUUGUUAUUUACUAAUAUACUUUCGAGUUAGGUCCAAGAAAAUAACAAUAUAAAAUAAUCAAAUAGAUUAUCUCCUUUAAAAUACGUUUUUUUCUUUAAUUUAUACAUUUUUCUAUAAUACAUUUUAAAAAUUUAUUUAUUUAUAUUAUAGAAAAGAAAUAUGUUUAAGAUAAUUUAUAUUUACAUGUUGUGUUUAAAAAUGUACUUUAACAUAUAUUAUUUUAGUAUUUAGCGGGAUUUAUAAGGAAAAACACUAUUUUGUUUAAAUAAUAUAGCCCUAUUAUUUUAGUAGAUUUUAUAUAUAGUAGCAUAUAACACAUUAUUUUAGUAAAUUUUAUUGAUAUAUGAUAUUUUGGAUGUUAUGAUAUUGAGUUUUCUUUUUAUUUUUAAUUAAGAUUUCAAAAUAUUAGAUUGUUUUAAUUUUACAACAUAUAUAGUUUUUUUUUUCUUGGUGCAUUUCAAAAAGUUAUUCUUUAUUAUCUAUGAUUUUAUCUUUUGUAAAAUUUGAAAUAUAUCAUUUUGUGUUUGAAUAUUUAUUUUCAAAAUUUUAUAUUUUGUCAAAUUUUUUUAAAAAAAUUACACAACUAUUUUUCAGUUUUGAAGAUUACAUGAAUUUUGAAUUUGUUUUUGUUACUACGUUACUACACUAUCUUCUAAAAAAAUAUUUGAAUUUUGGUAAUAUUUUCUAUUUUUUUCACAACAUAUUUCUUUAUAAUUAAAAUAAAAAAAUAUAAUUAAAAUUUGAUUUGUCAUUAAUAUUUUAAAUGAAUUACUAAAAUUUAAUAGUUUUCUAAUAACAUAUUUUUUAAAUAGUAUAUGAACUAAAGGUUAUUAUAUACUAUUAUAUUUGUAUAUAAACAUUUUAAACAAUAUAUUGUUGAGAGUUUAAAAAUAAAUAAAAAGAUAAUAUAUAGUUGUAGAUAUAAAAGUUUAACAUAUUUUAAUAGCAAAAACUCAAUAAUUAUAAUAUAGAUUUAGAUAUAUAAGGAACCUAAGGGGGAGAGAUAUGAGACUCACGAGAAGCAUAAAAGAAAGGUUAAUUAAGUGAGAGAAGUUAUGGGACACUUUCUGAUUGGUCUCCUUGUGGUUGCUCUGUCUAUUGGUAAUGUUAUUGAAGAGGCAUAUGGUGAAAUACCUAGACCAGUUUUGAGCGAAAUAGAGUGGAUUAAUAAGAGAGGUCCCUUUUUGGGGAUUGUAGCUCCAAACAACUAUGAGCUUAAUCCUCUCCUUGAUUCCCAAGCCUAUGUUCCAUAUCACAGACUGCCUUCCAUCGAUUUCGCAG